CCAAUAGCGUAUAUUAAAGUUGCUGCAGUUAAAAAGCUCGUAGUUGAAUUUCGGGACCAAUAUGUCGGUCGUGCUUCGGUACGUACUGUCAUAAUUGGUUUCUCCCUUCUGAAGAACCUUGAUGUCAUUAAUUUGGUGUCUUGGGGAAUCAGGACUGUUACUUUGAAAAAAUUAGAGUGUUUAAAGCAGGCUCGCGCUUGAAUACAUUAGCAUGGAAUAAUGAAAUAGGACGUUUGAUUCUAUUUUGUUGGUUUCUAGGAUCGACGUAAUGAUUAAUAGGGAUAGUUGGGGGCAUUAGUAUUCAAUUGUCAGAGGUGAAAUUCUUGGAUUUAUUGAAGACUAACUACUGCGAAAGCAUUUGCCAAGGAUGUUUUCAUUAAUCAAGAACGAAAGUUAGGGGAUCGAAGACGAUCAGAUACCGUCGUAGUCUUAACCAUAAACUAUGCCGACUAGGGAUCGGAUGAUGUUAAUUUUUUAAUGACUCAUUCGGCGCCUUAC
RNAcentral lists this ribosomal RNA (498 nucleotides) under uncultured Glomeromycotina. Its description in RNAcentral is "SSU rRNA". It matches the Rfam family "Eukaryotic small subunit ribosomal RNA", at positions 591 to 1091 of the family's 1831-position model. Lineage: Eukaryota; Fungi; Glomeromycota. The record is from RNAcentral.